GAGUUUGAUCCUGGCUCAGAUUGAACGCUGGCGGCAGGCUUAACACAUGCAAGUCGAACGAGGUUAGGGAGCUUGCUCCUGAUACCUAGUGGCGAACGGGUGAGUAAUGCUUAGGAAUCUGCCUAGUAGUGGGGGAUAACUUGGGGAAACUCAAGCUAAUACCGCAUACGACCUACGGGUGAAAGGGGGCGCAAGCUCUCGCUAUUAGAUGAGCCUAAGUCGGAUUAGCUAGUUGGUGGGGUAAAGGCCUACCAAGGCGACGAUCUGUAGCUGGUCUGAGAGGAUGAUCAGCCACACUGGGACUGAGACACGGCCCAGACUCCUACGGGAGGCAGCAGUGGGGAAUAUUGGACAAUGGGCGAAAGCCUGAUCCAGCCAUGCCGCGUGUGUGAAGAAGGCCUUUUGGUUGUAAAGCACUUUAAGUAGGGAGGAAAAGCUAAUGGUUAAUACCCAUUAGCCCUGACGUUACCUACAGAAUAAGCACCGGCUAACUCUGUGCCAGCAGCCGCGGUAAUACAGAGGGUGCAAGCGUUAAUCGGAAUUACUGGGCGUAAAGCGCGCGUAGGUGGUUACUUAAGUCAGAUGUGAAAGCCCCGGGCUUAACCUGGGAACUGCAUCUGAUACUGGGUAACUAGAGUAGGUGAGAGGGGAGUAGAAUUCCAGGUGUAGCGGUGAAAUGCGUAGA
RNAcentral lists this ribosomal RNA (685 nucleotides) under uncultured bacterium. RNAcentral describes it as "bacterial SSU rRNA". It matches the Rfam family "Bacterial small subunit ribosomal RNA", at positions 9 to 694 of the family's 1533-position model. The record is from RNAcentral.